Molecule: long non-coding RNA, 3436 nt
Filed under: Varroa destructor (honeybee mite)
Lineage: Eukaryota; Metazoa; Arthropoda; Arachnida; Mesostigmata; Varroidae
Description: uncharacterized LOC111253149
Source: RNAcentral
CCGAUAUCGGCUUUGUCCACCAGUGAUGACACACCCGGCAAGUUACAUAUAUUUCUGGUGCAGGAUUUCUCCUUUCGUCAUACAUACGUAAACAACCUCUCCAUGAAUAGAACAGCUUCUGGCUCAUUUUAUCUUUCUCCUACCAAAGGGAUACACAUGCAACUUGAUACAAAGAAGCAAAUAAAAAUUUGUAUAACAGAAGCAUCGAGACCUGCCCAUUAGUUGAUGUCCAUUAUCUCAUUGCGAUGUAGAGGUUUCGACAGCUGCCUCUCCCUUUUCAUCAAGUAGGUGUGCAUGCCUGUCAAGCAGCAGACGCGCGCUGUCAAAAAACGCUCCAACAUAUAACAGGAUUACCAAGUUGCCGCCUGGAUGACCCUAGAUCUGCAGUGAAGCGUUGAAAUUCACUUCUACAAUUAUUUCUAAGGUGGCCUAGUGCCUGUAUAGAAGACGAUUUCGAAUAGUUAUGUGCUAGUUAGCAAAAGCAGAGUCAUACGAUUCAUAUUCGUUCUGAAUCUAACACACCCAAGUAAGACCUCUACCAUGCGUAAUAAAUGUAAUUUAACAUUAUAUGGGAGAAUGAUUUACAAAUUAGGUUCUUGUCAGCAUAUAUUCUACACUCUCAAGUAAGCAUUUGCACAUAGCCAGACAAUCUUCCAAAUAGCUGUGACAAUUUAUGUGUUUUUUUGCAUAUCGGUUUGACAAGGCUUCACUAGUUUUAAAAUGGCCCAUCUGAAAAACAUCGGAUUUGUGGUAACCGUAGACUCCAAUGUAAAUUGGAGGAAAAGUAGUAGUAGUAGUAGAAACCGACAGUGGCUGAAAAUGUGCGAAAGAGGCGUAAAAUUGGAGAAAUAAGUCGAGCCUUAAAAUAAGUUCCUCAAUAGAGCCGCUAAAAAAUGUGUUCAAUGUUUUUUUACCCGAGCGGCUUAAAAUUUACACGGAAUUUGGAAGUUGCAGUGUGAGGUAGCGGGCUACAUUAGAGUAUAACAGGUUAAAGAUAACGGCUUAAUGGGAGCCUUUAACGGAAGUGUGUUGCAGUGGAUAACAGGAAUAAACUGAAUGAAACUAAACGUUUUAAGUUGUACGUAUGGUACCGCAUUGCCGCUAAAGACUCCAUCCGGCGGCUGCCUCGGAUUCGAACCCAGAUCACGACGUGCGCCUAAGAUUAGGCUAAUCUAUCAUAAGGACAGGACAAUGGGACAACGGCUAUAGGGUAAUAACAGAGCAAUGAAAUAGCAUAAUAGGACAAUAAAAAUAAUUGUAACGAAGUAACGAAGACAGUGCAAUGUGGUGAUAAAACAGCUGCAGCAAAUUCGGGUUUAGAAGUUGCGUUUAGGCCGAGUAUGUGUAAGCUAGCUUUUGCAAUGAAACAGCGAAAAUCAUAUAAUAGUAUUGAGCAACGUCCAGCGCGUCUGUACGGUAUGAGUCACGAAGAAGUGCAUAAGCCUGAAUGACCACAAGCAAAGGUCAGCGAAUGUUAUAGAUGUGAUGCUUGCAUAAGUAACAAAACUGACGACAUUCUCUUGGUCCCUAUAUUGUUUCAUAUGGCACUAUUAGUUUUAUCUUUUAGCAAAAUGUGAAAAAUGAAGCGUAUUUACGAGAUGUAUUAGCAACUGUGCAUUCACAGCCUCUGAUGUUCAUUUGCAUUUUAUUAUUAUUAUUAUUAUACAAUGGGUGUCCGGGCUUAAGCCCUAGAGCUUUAAAAAAAUCACUUUCAAAAAUGAUUAGAGGGUUCUCUGAUAUUCCAGCACGGCAAAACUGCAACUCGCUUUUUUCAGUUCGUGUCUGUAUUAAGCUCGACGGAAGCCCAUUGGAUUAAUCUAUAUUAGAGUAAUUAAAUAAUUUAUAAUGCUGUUUCGAUGCUACGAAUGUUGCCCAGUCCGUCCAGGUUCGCCUAUUCAUUAUCAAGGUCAGUGAUCCAGCAACCAUAAUUCGCGGCAGCAAUUCUAUUGAAUACUAAGUGCAAUACAUAUUCGUUAUGCUAUGAUAUCUACAAAAUAGAAAACCUAGCGCCAAAUAAAAAAAUGUAAAAUUCUGUAGACACACACAGUACAAGCACUGCGUUGUUUCAAAAACACCUCAUUUCCUCAUGGUUAGCUCGCCUUAGCCGUUGUCGGUGCGCAGUUGUCUGAAAAAUUCUUUCCAUUUUUUUAUACUAAGUCAAUUUAGUCAAACUAGCCAUUCAAUUGCGUCGUAAAAUAACUAGGAUGAAUAUAUUAUCGUGCCCUGAGCGUAGUAAUAAAAGGUAAAUCAGACAAAAUUCAACAGAGAAUAUCGUAAAAUCGCGUUUAGUAUGUGAAAAGGUCAUCCGACGCAGCUUUAGCAGUACCCGCUUAGCUUCAAUGACGUCUACGAAUAACGCAAGGUAUCCUCCAUGAUUUAUCAGAGCUUGUUCAAGUUAUAGGUGCGCGUUUUAGGAUAAACCACUCGUUCUAAUUAGGCACCUACCGAUCAAAUUCCUAGUUCUGACUUUCAACUACAAUGUAAUUUAGUGACAACUGAAAGACGAUAUUAAGUCAGGAUCUAUUUAGCAGUAGAAUACUCUCUAAAGAAAACAGUAAACUGUGUGCUAUCUACUUUCUACAGUGGCUUUUGAAUGAAGCUGUAUAUCAAAUCACAAAAGAGUACUCCUGUUUAUCAUCGAAUCCUCUUUUUUUGCAGAGAAGAUAUUUAGCUGAAAAAGUAUUUAAUUGGUUUUCAAGCGAUCCGUUUUCAACCGAUUGUGGUAAUAGUUGUGCACUACGUUAUUUCUGAUGGACUGUAAAUAAAACCUGCUACAUUUUCCACAACGAACCCUCAGCUGCUUUUUUAAUAACCGGCCCCAUUAUGACUGUCUAUUGUUGCUUUACAGAUUUUCCAUCAAAGGAAGUGGGACUCACUUCAAGCAAUGCGAACAGGUUCCAGGUGAUUAAGAGACCGCAAAUGGGAACGCCUGCUAAAUGAAUGUCUAACAAAAUAAAGAUUUAUGCAAACAUAAUGCAUUUAUAUUCAUUUCGAAUUGUUCCAUACGACUUUUCAAAGGUGAAAAGCGCACAUAUUUUUCUUAAAUUCUGAAGCCAUGUCACAGUUAUUAAUACAAUAAUUGUCGUGACUUCGUAUACUAAAGUUGGAAUAACGCGAAUCAAUUUCUAAACCAUCUAAAAAUCUUUAUAUAAAAUAGUACUUUAGCAGAAUACGAAUGCUAUGGCAAAAUGCAUUUUCAGAAAACGUAAUUUUAACUAUAAAUUGGAUUUAAGUGCAGUGUCGUAUUGUGUGUCAUCGUAGCGUCUGACAAAGAGGACCAUGAGCAAAAUUUAUUUGUUUGUCCACGGGUCGCAAAAAAACAAGAACUGUGACCAGUAGUUGUUCACGCUAAAGGAAAUUGAUUUCACGCAGUAGUAUUUAACAGGUCUUCGCGGCAUGUAGAGAUCUUUGGUUUGGAAAUAGGCCAGGACAUUGA